GUAGAUAUAGUUUAACCAAGAUAUUAGACUGUGACUCUAAAGAUAGGGGUUAAAACCCCCUUAUCCACC
Molecule: transfer RNA, 69 nt
Filed under: Luciobrotula bartschi
Lineage: Eukaryota; Metazoa; Chordata; Actinopteri; Ophidiiformes; Ophidiidae
Description: tRNA-His
Rfam family: tRNA
About the family: Transfer RNA (tRNA) molecules are approximately 80 nucleotides in length. Their secondary structure includes four short double-helical elements and three loops (D, anti-codon, and T loops). Further hydrogen bonds mediate the characteristic L-shaped molecular structure. tRNAs have two regions of fundamental functional importance: the anti-codon, which is responsible for specific mRNA codon recognition, and the 3' end, to which the tRNAs corresponding amino acid is attached (by aminoacyl-tRNA synthetases). tRNAs cope with the degeneracy of the genetic code in two manners: having more than one tRNA (with a specific anti-codon) for a particular amino acid; and 'wobble' base-pairing, i.e. permitting non-standard base-pairing at the 3rd anti-codon position.
Source: RNAcentral